RNAcentral lists this small RNA (738 nucleotides) under Pongo abelii (Sumatran orangutan). Its description in RNAcentral is "retained intron". The record is from RNAcentral. Lineage: Eukaryota; Metazoa; Chordata; Mammalia; Primates; Hominidae.
AUUCCCGGGACUAGGUUGCGGGAGAAAGCCUGUUGCGUGGAAGAUAAGGCUGCGCGGAGAGUGGAAACAGGGUAGGCUGGAGAUCUAACUGGACUCUCGCUCCUGCUGGCUGGACAUGGAGGAUUUGGAGGAAGGUAAGGAAAGGAGGGAGGGAAGAAUGAAAGGGAGGAGUGAGACCCAGCGAUGGACAGCUGCAUCAGGGACCCAUGACUGGCCUUCAUUCUUCUUUCCCCUUCAGAUGUAAGGUUUAUUGUGGAUGAGACCUUGGACUUUGGGGGGCUGUCACCAUCUGACAGCCGUGAGGAGGAAGACAUAACAGUGUUGGUGACUCCAGAGAAACCCCUUCGACGGGGCCUCUCCCACCGAAGUGACCCAAAUGCAGUGGCACCUGCCCCCCAGGGUGUGAGGCUCAGCCUAGGCCCCCUCAGCCCAGAGAAGCUGGAGGAGAUCCUCGAUGAGGCCAACCGGCUGGCCACUCAGCUGGAGCAGUGUGCCCUACAGGAGCGAGAGAGCGCAGGCGAGGGCCUGGGGCUUCGCCGAGUGAAGCCCAGUCCUCGGCGGGAGACCUUUGUGCUGAAGGACAGUCCUGUCCGAGACCUGCUGCCCACUGUGAACUCUUUGACGCGGAGCACCCCCUCCCCAAGCAGCCUGACGCCUCGACUCCGGAGCAAUGAUAGGAAGGGGUCAGUCAGGGCUCUCCGGGCAACAUCUGGAAAGAGGCCCUCCAACAUGAAGAGG